Molecule: ribosomal RNA, 623 nt
Filed under: Calliblepharis ciliata
Lineage: Eukaryota; Rhodophyta; Florideophyceae; Gigartinales; Cystocloniaceae
Description: eukaryotic LSU rRNA
Rfam family: Eukaryotic large subunit ribosomal RNA
Source: RNAcentral
ACCGUCACGGGGAAAGCGGAUUGCGUUGGAUUGAUGGGAUUUUGUGUGUUCAGCCCUUUUUUGGGUGCAUUGACAUGGAAUCUUAUUCGCCGUGGGUUUUUUGGGAAUGGAUUUUGCAUUCCUAUAGACUGAGGGCUCCCUUCGGGUUGAGGACGGCGAAGUGACGACGCGAUACGACCCGUCUUGAAACACGGACCAAGGAGUCUAGCGCGAUUGCGAGUCUAAGGGUGGUGAAACCUGAUGGCGCAGUGAAAGCGAGUAUAAAACGAGCAGUUUGAGGCGGCAUAGAAUCGUUGAUUUUAAGUCCGACCUGGAGCAAUUGCGCUGGGACCCGAAAGAUGGUGAACUAUGCCGGAGUAGGGCGAAGCCAGAGGAAACUCUGGUGGAGGCUCGUAGCGGUGCUGACGUGCAAAUCGCUCGUCCAACUUGGGUAUAGGGGCGAAAGACUAAUCGAACCAUCUAGUAGCUGGUUCCCUCCGAAGUUUCUCUCAGGAUAGCGGGCCGACAUGUGUUGUUCUGUGCGGUAAAGCGAAUGAUUAGCGUAAUUGGGGACAUUUUUUCUUCGGGCGAUUCUCAAACUUUAAAUGCGCAGGGGUGUCGCUGCUUGGUUGAGCGGCACCGGU